Molecule: long non-coding RNA, 11910 nt
Filed under: Sorghum bicolor (sorghum)
Lineage: Eukaryota; Viridiplantae; Streptophyta; Magnoliopsida; Poales; Poaceae
Description: long non-coding RNA (SBIC_LNC003345)
Source: RNAcentral
AAAAAAAAAGUAAAAAUUUGCUUUAUCUAAAAAUGCAUAGCUAACUUGAUUUAAAUUAGAGAAAUUUAAAACCAGUAUCAUUUUUUCUAAAGAUUUAUUUGGAACUUAAUUAUUUCUAUUGCUCUAUUGCUCGUGGUCAUGAUAAUUAUCUAUUUAAAACAAAUGCGAUCUGAUAACUCCAAAUAGAGCACCGGUAAAUUGGUAUUUUUUUGAAGAAAAUUGUUACUAGUCUCAUAUGUUUAUUUAAAAUAAAUUAGUUAGGUAUUUUUAGAGAUUAAAGUAGAUUAUUAUUAUUUUUACAAAAUAGAAUACCACCUUUCAAAUCAGCAAAAAAAAUCAAAUUUAUUUGGUUAAACAGUUGGAAGCGUCUGCUACCUGAUUUCAUAGUUCAGGAUCGAAAAUCAAAUUGUUUUGCAAGUUGAAAGUUACAAAACAUAGACUUUACAUGGCAAAAACACUUGAGGUAAAAAAGAAUAAGUUGCAUGCUAUCACAAUGCAUGUAAAGUAAAUAUACAAUAUAAACAUACUUUGUAUUUUUUUUUCAAUUUUUGUUUUUUGUGGUGGUUUAAAAGGUCAACUCUAUAUUGACAUUUGACGACCCUCCAAUUCAUGGCACAUUUGAUAGCUAACAAAACAAAUAUCCUAUAUGUCACCUCCAAAUGUAUUGGCUUUAAAUAUGUUCUAAGUUGAACUUUUCUAAGUGAGACUAAGUUUUUAGAAAGAAAAUCAUAUUUAUAACGUUAUUUAUUUGGAAAUAUGUUAUCGUAUUUUACACUUUUGAUGUUGUAGAUGUUUCACUAUUCUAUAUAAAUUUGUUUUAACCUAAAAUAGUCCGACUUAGAGCAAACUCCCAAGUCCUUUUUUAUUUUAGGACAAAGGUAGUAUAUGGCCCGAUAAAUAUUACUAUUAAUCAUUCAUAUAAGACGUACCUUUUAUUUAAGAUUUCAAGCUAGCUUGAAUUCCAACUCACUACCGGAAAAUGAGCCUAAAUCUCUUAGAGCAACUUCAACAGCUUUGUUAUUCUUGUUAUGGAGGCCUUUUAGAACUUCUAUAGUAGAAAAAUAGGUUCCAACAGAUGUGUUAUUUGGUUUUGUAAAAUAGAAAGUUUGCUAUCCCUUGAUUUUCGCUGGCCAUAUAUAGCCAACCACUCGCACUAGCUAUCUGAUAGCAAGGCUGUUGUGAACCUCUUCUUUUUUAAGAAGUUAUCUAUUUUACAAAAUGGCUAAACAUUAGAAUUUGACUACUAAGUUUAGCCAAGCUCUUGGAGAUGCUCUUAGGCCUUGUUUAGUUCCCACCAAAAUCCAAAAAGUUUUCAAGAUUCUCCAUCACAUCGAAUCUUGCGGCACAUGCAUGAAGCACUAAAUAUAGACGAAAACAAAAACUAAUUACAUAGUUUGCCUGUAAAUCGCGAGACGAAUCUUUUGACCCUAGUUAGUCUAUGAUUGGACAAUAUUUACCACAAACAAACGAAAGUGCUACAGUAGCGAAAAUCCAAAUUUUUUUACAUCUAAACAAGGCCUUAGGGGGUGUUUGGGACUGCUUCACAAACUCCACUGUGGAGCAGCUCCACAAAAAACUAAAGUUGUGGAGUACCUCUUUAGGUGCUCUCACAACUCCACCCUUUUUCCUCGAACUGAGUGCGUGGAGCUGAAACCGUUUAGCUAAAAAACGUGAAGCGGAGCUGAAAAACUUAGAGCAGAGCAGUCCCAAACACCCUCUUAGUCUUUCACGAGACCUCGAAGAAAACGUUAGAUCCAUAAUGCCCCACAAAUGCGCUGAAACACAUCGCUACUCUUCACAAAAGUAGGGUAUAACUAUGCUUCUUAUUAUUCAUCCCGUUAAUAAUUACUAUAUAUAUACAAUGAAGUAGACAUUCUUAUUAGUUCCGUUUGACCAUGGUCAGAUUUACAGCUUACACUUCAAAAGGCAAAAGCAGUAAGAGAACCAUGGACGCAAAUUUUAUGGUGCCCAUUGUUCAUUUCCCUCCCUUAAUAACAUCUUUUUGUGAAUAAAACACAUGGCAACGAGCUCAGGCUUGCUUUACGCGACAAGCAAUCUUUGGCAUUCAUGGUUUUGUACAAAUAGAGAAGGAAAGAAAUGGAGAAGUGUACUGAUGUCUCAGCUUUUGCCGUCUAUAUUUAUUCAUGGCCACAAAACUAGCUUGUUUUAUGGAUUUGCUUGCAAGAUAUGAUCAUACGAUUAAUAUGCAGGCAAGAUAUUCAAUAUAACUCCACAAGCGAUAACACAUAUUUCUUCAAGCUGACGGUACAACAUUAUAUUAGCAAAAAAUAUAAAUGUACAUUGUGCCUACAACACAAGGGCGUAUUUAAUGGAGCAACAAGGGUUCAAGAUCCUCCUACGAUUUGGUAGUCCAUGAAGCCCCUUUAAGCCCCAUGAAACUUUGAUAAAUGAAAGAGAGGAAGAAAAGACUACACGUGCUCUACUUAUCGAGGACUCAAAUUACCUCGAGAUCUCAAACUUUUCCUAAGGUCUAGAGUUCAUGGGGAUGUCAUUUGAAUAAGCCACUUAAUUGUUAGGGUUAAGAGUCCAAAUUAGACCAGAAGGUUGAAGAUGACUGCCCCCUCUUAUAGCCUCCUAAUAAGACCUUGAUCAUAGCCAAGAGGAUUGAGGGGGAUUGAAUCGCCCAAAAGUUAAUUAAAAUCCUCUUCAAUCUGCUCGAUCCAAUCUCUUGAAUCCUCAUAGUUUAGAAAUCAAACAAACAAGGUCUAAAUAUUCUGUCCCACUGGUACAGCACAUACUCCCUCCGUCCCAAUAAGAAUGCCGUCCUAGCGUUGGAGUGUUAUCAAAAGAAAACGUCGUUUUAGAGCUUGAAGCCUACUCCUUCCGUCCCCAAAUACUGCUAUUUCUAGCAGAUUUCAGACAGAUUAAUGUGGCAAACAAAAGACCAUUCUACCCUCAAUUAAUUUGGGUUCCACCAUUUCAUCAUGCACGUUAAGCUAUGGUUCUCUGGUUCCAACGAGCUGCAUUUAAUGCCAACUAAACAGACUCAAACAAUUACCAUGCGCCAAAGUACUACUCCCUAGAAGAAAUUAAAUGAGCUGGUGACCACGGAAGUUACAAGGAGAAAUUAAAUAGACUGGUGGACUGAAUAUGCUAAUAGAAAUAGCAGUAUUUGUGGAUAAAAAUUUCUCCUAGAAAUAGCAGUAUUUAGGGACGGAUGGAGUAUAUGUAAACUUUACAUAUACGAGUAAGCUACGAUGCAAAGCAUGCAGGCACAAGGACAACAUACAUAUAAAAAUAUAAAACAGAGUUCAUAAUACACCUGUGCGGUGAACCAGCACUCGAUAAACAUUCUGUCAUAAAAGUUUGGCCGAGAUUAGCGAAACUGGAGUUCAAUAAAGACUAACUGUGCUCACUUAGUGACGUCGCUAAGUACAUCACGACUACAGUGGUAAGUGGUAACAGGCUAGCUACUUCACCCUAGUAAACCUUAGAAGGUGCUCUAGAGCGUGAAGUUAGUCCUGUCCGAAGGAAGCUGGGGCUCCAGUAACUUGUCCAACAUAUCUCUCCGUUACACUAACGGUUGAUCAUAUUCCUCCACUUAUCCUUCAAGUCCACCUACAAUACAUCAUACAUACAACCCGUCAGUACCUUGAUUGGCAACCACAGAAACUUCACUGUAAUAACCAAGUACCCACCGGUGUUCUGCCGAUAAAAACGUCAGGGUUGUUAUUUAAAAUGUCCUUCCAAUUGCCACUACCAUACCUACACAUGAAACAAGCACAACAUGACGAUGAGGAACAUACAACAACAGCAAUCUAAACACCAGUGUUUUAGAACAAGAAAGCUGACGUGUCAAACAAUAAUAAUAUCUGAACAUCAAGACAAAACAUACUGUUCAACACCCUGUCUUAGUGUUUCUUCUUCUAAUAAGCACCACUUCCUUGCUCUUCUACGCCUAUUUUUGUUUUCUCCCGGUGGCAAAGGAGAAACUGGUGCUCUCCUUGGGCUAGGCAAGUGUGGUCUGCGUAAUGACGGUUCUGAACUCUCAGGACCAGGUGAUUCCUCCCACUGCAAACAAGUGUUUUCUUUUCAGAAACAUGACCAGAAUCUAACGUUUUACGGUAGUGAUAGUAAGCUAUCCUAUAGGCUAACUAUAAGGUAUCUUAAUUGAGCUUAAAUUAGACUACAGUAAGAUUACGUUUGAGUGUAACACAAAAGAGGGACUGUGGUAGAGCAUUCAUGAUCCGAAAUCCAAAUUUCAGUAGCUACCUUACUAAAGUGAAACAAAAUCCUACAACUAUUAGGUUUUGUGACCCCAUUUGAUUAUUUCUUGUCAUGGUCACAGCAUCUUACUAAGACUGCAUAUAUCCUCAAAAUAUUUCAUAACACAUAUCAUCCAGAUUUUGCAGAAAAUAAAGGGAAUCUAGGCAGGAGCAGAAAGUUGGCAAUGUAGAGAACAAUUUGUACUGACUACUGAAAACUCAAUCAGUAGAGAAACAAAUAAAAUGUGAACAGACGAUGUUUAAUGCAAAACAUUGACAUGAUAUAGGCACUGAUAUCAUCUUCAAUCACAAUGGAAACAAAGGCUAGUAAUUACAAUCACAAAUUCAAUUUAAAAAUCAAAGCAAGUUCAGUAUGGACAAAGUUCAAAAAGCAAAGAUAACUCUUUCAAAAACAAAUGCUCACCUGAAAGGUGCGUGCUGUUGGGUUCCAAUCCAUAAGGCUGUGAGGUUUACCUGUACUUGGACCCUUGCCUUUAUCAUUAGGAGCGCUCGGGCCUGCAGUGCCACAAGUUGUUGGUUGACCUCUUGCUUCUUCAGCAUCCAAACUAACGCUUUUCUCCGUCCUUGCAGCCAAUACCUCAUCUGCAACUGCCUUCGCAGCUGGAAGCGGAUCCUCCACAACACUGUGAAGCUCAGCACAGCUUGUUUUGAGCGAGUUAAUCACCUUCUCAACAGCUGGUGUUGAAAUUGGAUUUGCACUGGAGGUGGGUUCUUCAAGUUUGCUGAGAAUCUCAUGUGUUCUUUCUUCCCCAGCUGUAAAUUUCAUUUCAUAUAAUCAAUUAUAGGCUAUGAAGGCCAUGACCUUGUGAACACCAGAAUUACAACAAAUUAGAAACGUAAAACAUCUAGCAGCUAACAAUGCACAUAAAGACCUAGAGCUGGCCCAAAAGAUGAAACCCAAACUGCUCUAUAUAGAAUGCAUAGAAUUGCAAAAUCAAUAAGAAACAUAGAUGCAGACAAACAGAAAGAUACGGAGUACUAAAAUAACUGAUGUGAGUGGUAUAAAGCCAUUAAAAUAUUGUAGUGGCACCAUCAAAAGUAUUCAAAAGAUUAAAAUUAUGUAGUUUGAUCUAUGAUAAACAAGAAACUAGAAGCAGAAAAAUUAGCAAGUACACUCCAAUUACCUGUUUAGGAUAGCUUCAACUAAUGGUUGUUUCAGAGAUAACACUUUAGACAAACAGAUUUCUAGACCACGAUGAAUAUGACCUCAAAAUCCCGACUCAAUGUUCCCCUUUUUUUAUUAUAUCACUAAAAAAGACAUGAAAGCCCCACUACACACUAGUUCCUUGAGUUAACCACAGACAGAGCAAUCUACUCAAAUCACAAUGCUGCUGCAAAAUACAAUGUGCAACGAGUACAUUGCUUGUAUAUAAACUUAGAGUUGCAUUGCAUCUGUGUUUGUCGUACACUAUCUAGGUUAUCUUCUCUGCUCCAUGCCAUCAACAAAAUUAUAGCAUCGUGACUCAUCCAAUCCAGAGGCUACCAACAAAUUUACUCAUCAAACAAACCACAAUGCCCUGGAAACCACACACCAAAAAAAAAACAAAAAUGCUCACCCAAAAUGCGGAGCUUGGCACGGGUGGCCUCAUCCGCGGCACGCCAUGUCUCGACGGCCCCAUCCCCGACGAUCCGCUCAGCCGCCUGAACGAGCAGCGACGGCCCAAUGGCAGCCCACUCGGCGGCGAGGAGCUCCCUGACCCGCUCCUCCGUGGCGGACCGGUCGCCCCACAGCCCCCUGAGGACGGCCUGAGAGAAGGAGUUCCCGACGGCGGCCUCGAACUGGUCCACUGUGGUCAUGACCUCAUCGGAGGCGAGCGCGGGGGACCCUCCCUCGUCGACCGCGAGGCGCGCGCGGCCGUUGGGGCGCGCGAAGAGCGCCCCCGCGGCGUCGUCGAAGUCGGACGCGGAGACCGCGAGGUAGGCCGCGACGGCGAUGUGGGCGGCGGCGAUUGGGGAGGCGGGGGCGGGGAGCGCGGCCAGGAGCUGGAGCGUGUCUAGGGAGGAUUCGGAGACCGGGUCGGCGGCGAGGCGGCGGAGGAGGACCGCGCGGCGGAGGCGCGGGGUCGGGUGGGAGGGGAAGGGGAGCGCGACGAGGAGCUUGGUGACCACGGCGGCGGGGACCGAGGGGUCGGCCAGGACGUGCUCCAGGAUGAGGCUCGCGCCGACCGGCGUCACCCGCGGCAUUUUGGGGGCGCUUCGUGCGGAGAGACGCCGCGGCGGGGAUUCGAGCAAAGUGGGCGGCGGCGGAGAGACGCCGCGGCAUUUUGGAGCCUUGUUCAGGGGGUGUUUAGUUUUUUUUAAAAAAAAAUUAGGUUUUAGUUUAUUAUUUUGUAUAAUGGAAUCAAACACUAUGCAAUUUUUUGACAAAAAAGUAGUUAUUUUUUAUUUUGGAUUUUAGCCUCAAGAGACUAAAAAAUCCAAAAAGAGUCUCAAGAAGCUUUCAUAAGGGCAAUAAAUUCUGUAUUUUGAAUGGAACUAAAUAUGACCCUAAAAAUUUUAGCAUUUUGCAUUUCUCUACUCUAAAGGAAUUGACAUUUUGCAUUUUGUAUUUUAUGGGGAACUAAACACCCCCUUAAAGCAACUCCAAGAGCUUGGCUAAAAUUAAUAGCCAAAUUCCAUUGUUUAGCCAUUUUGUAAAAUAAAAAACUACUUAAAAAAGAAGAAGUCCACAACAGCCUUGCUAUUUUACAAAAUCAGAUAGCUAGUGUCAUUGGUUGGCUAUAUAUGGCCACCGAAAAUCAAGAGAUAGCCAACUUUCUUUUUUACAAAACCAGAUAAUACAUCUGUUGGAGCCUAUUUUUUGCUACGCAAAUUCUAAAAUAGCCUCCACAACAUGAAUAGCUAAGCUGUUGGAGUUGCUUUCUCAAAAAUUUGGCAAUUUUUUUAAAAAAAUUCUCCAUCACAUCAAAUCUUGCUACACAUGAAUGGGUCACUAAAUAUAGAUUAAAAAAUAACUAAUUGCAUAGUUUGCAUGUAAUUUGCGAGACGAAUCUUCUAAGUGUAGUUAAUUAAUGGUUGGACAAUAUUUGUUAAAUACAAACAAAAAUACUAUAUUGCCCAUUUUAUAAAAUUUUUGCAACUAAACAAGACCUAGAUAUAUACAACUCUAAUAUUCAUGUAUCCAAAGGGCCCUAUUUGACAUAAAAAUAAAAAAAAGAAAAUAUCCAUUUUUUAUUUUUUUUAAGGUUAAUAGAUUGAACAGAUACUCUAGAAGUAUCUCGAUAAUUAGAUCGCAUAGUAUAUUUGGCCAGUUCAUGAAGAUCUUAUUUGGAUGUUCAAAGAUUUAUCUUAAUCCAUAUAUAUAUCAGAGUAGAUUGAGAUGAACACCCGUAGGAUUUGUUUGUUUGCCUAGACUAAAUUGACUCGGGCCGAUAAGUAGAGUCCAGGUGUUCCUAGUUAGGCUAGAAUACUCUCCAAAGUACUCCCUCCGUCCCCAAAUACUGCUAUUUCUAGCAGAUUUCAGACAAAUUAGUGUGGCAAACAAAAGACCAUUCUACCCUCAAUUAAUUUGGGUUCCACCAUUUAAUCAUGCACGUUAAGCUAUGGUUCUCUGGUUCCAACGAGCUGCAUUUAAUGCCAACUAAACAGACUCAAACAAUUACCAUGCGCCAAAGUACUACUCCCUAGAAGAAAUUAAAUGGGCUGGUGACCACGGAAGUUACAAGGAGAAAUUAAAUGGGCUGGUAGACUGAAUAUGCUAAUAGAAAUAGCAGUAUUUGUGGACAAAAAUUUCUCCUAGAAAUAGCAGUAUUUAGGGACGGACGGAGUACAAGAGAAGGUUGCAUGCCUACGACUUUUAUUGUUUCCCUUGGUUCGAGUCAGAGCCUCUGUUCCCCAAGCGAAUCGAAGCCUUCGUCCAAGUCACCGAGGCAGAGCCUCCGCCCCAAUCCGUCGGAGUAGGCACUUCUCUGCCUGCACCCGCACCCCCUGCCAGCACCGACGCUCCAUCUCCUCCUCCUGUGGCCGCCGACGCCCCUCCACUUCUCCCUAGCACCGGGUACGCAGAGGUGGGAUGGAAAAGAUCUAGUCGCAGAUUCCACCGCCAGGAGCCAGUGUGUCCGAGAUCCAGGAGCGGAUUUCACUCUCUUCUCCUCCCCGACGAUCCCCCACCUCGUCUUCUCCUUUGAUGGCGUCCUCCCUUCUCUUCUCCUUCGUCGCCUCCCUCCCUCUGACGCUCCCAUGCCCGCAGACGCGCUCCCCUUCUUUCCUCCAUCGAAGAUCUAGCCCUUCCUUCGCUUCGGUCUCUCGGAGAUCUCCGACCACGCCCUCCUCUCCCCACGAGCGGCCACCGGCGCCGGUGUACGUUGUCAUCUCCACUUUGGAUGAUAACCGAGGAGUGGAGAGAGAAGAACAUGCUAGGGGCAUUAUGGUCAUUUUUUUUCAAUCUUGGUAGCGCGCCGAGUGCUCCAAGGACACUCUUACUAGGACAAAGGGAGUAGGCUUUAUUGUCACCAAACUCUUGCGUUGCUACCAACCACACAACCAAUUGGAUUUGGCAAGACCAUUUUGGAGAUAAUGUGAAAAUUAAAGAACAAAUUCAAAGCUUUUCCUUGUAUCUCACUAGAUCACAAAUUGUGUACUCAAACUAGAGGAUUCAGUUGAGACAAAACACGUGUAAUUUCACAUCCACGUCAAACGCAAAAGCAAAAUAAAGUCGUUAUCUUUCUCGAAGCAGAAAACGUAGUAGAAUUUAUGCCGUACUCUUCCGACCCGAGGCUAUCUAGGCCUUGUUUAGUUCCCAAAAAUUUUACAAAAUUUUUCAGAUUCUCCGUCACAUCGAAUCUUUAGACGUAUGCAUGAAGUAUUAAAUAUAUAUGAAAAUAAAAACUAAUUACACAGUUUGGUCGGAAUUGACGAGACGAAUCUUUUGAGCCUAAUUAGUACAUAAUUAGAUAAUAUUUGUCAAAUACAAACGAAAUUACUACUAUUCCUAUUUUGCAAAAAAUUUUGGAAGUAAACAAGGCCUAACCAACAAGUCGUCCAACGUGACUGUUGUUCGGAUAAGCCACUCUUAUACGAUACGUAUAAUAAUAAUAAUCAAACGAAAAUCGAAGCAAAUAAAAAAAAAUCAACUGUAAAAGACAGGCCCUCGAUCCAUUCCAGAGACACGAGAUGAGGCGACAAGGGAUCCGACGUGUCAGAGAGCUAGUGGCUGAGCACCGAUCUCGGACUCCCGGUGCGUCUCCACCGCAGGAUCCAGGCUGACCGCCCCCACGGCCGUCCGUCCCCACCCACGCACACGCGACGCUGACUCAUCGUCGCCUACACGCGGCGGCGUAACCGCCGUGCAAGCGCCAGUGCGCAUCCGGGUCCCACCCGUCAGCCUCGCCGUCGCACGUGCCCUCGGGGCUGCUGCUGAGUCACCGCGUCGCCCGCCCCGAGACGCCAUCUCUGUCGCGUUCGCGUACAAGCCCAGCGCACCCAGCUCCCAAACAGCCACGCGUGGGCCCAAGUCCACCACUGGACCCACGUGUCAUGCACCUCCCAACCCGCGCUUUUUCGUACCCGCACCGGCCCCACGCUGCUGGCGAAACGACGCUGCUGCUGCUGCUCCUGUCCCGUCCCACCCGCUUAGCCUUGGGGUCACUGACACCGUGUCCCCACGGUGGGCAUAACGGGAAUUCCAAAACGCCCGCCCGGCCCCAUCCCCCGCGUGUGUGGUGGCUUUAAAGCGACGCCGUCUCCUCGCUCGCUUCCUUCCCCAUUUCCUCGCAUCGCAUCCGCCCUCUUGCUUGCUUCACACGAGCGACGCGAUUACCAAAUUUUUUUCCUUUUCCGGGGGAGUGGUUGUUCGUCCUGUCGGCGGCGGGCGGCGGAGGGAUGGAGACGGCGGCCGCGGCGAUGCUAGAGGCCGGGGUAGGGCGGUUCUCGCGGGCGCCGGCGAUGGCCACGGCGCUGCUGGCGGAGAUGUGGGCGCCGCUGGCCGUGGCGCUGGCGGCGCUGGCCACGCUGCCCAGCCUGCUGCGCCGCCUGCAGGUCAUCGUGCUCCGCCUCCGGUCCCGCGGGAAGGAGGUCGUCCAGUCGCACAUCGGGACCUAGUACUCGCCCUGAGCCGAGGAGGAUGGCUCCGCCGACCGAAGACGAGAGCUCCGACGAAGAGGCGGAGGACGCCAGCUCAUCCGACGACGACGGGGAGGGGGAGGAUCUGAAGCGGAUCGGGUUCUACGAGGGGGCCUCGGACGGCGUCUUCCCCUGGGGCGGCGCCGUGGUCCGCACCUGGCAGGGCCUCCCGCGCCGCUUCUCCGGCUGCGCCUCGGGUAUCGGAGGAGGUUUCGGCGGCGCCACCGGAGGAGCGUUCCCUGGAGCUGUCAGGCUGUGGGGCGCCAGCACGGCCAGCGGCGGCGAGCCGUGGUGGGCCGCCGUCUGCAGCGCCGAUGAAGGCGGCUGCCGUCGCGACGGCGGCGCGGCCGCGGCCGCGGAGGCGGACCAGGUCGUCGUCGGGUGGCGGCGCGAGCACGCGUCGCAGCAGCAGCAGCAGCGGCGGCGCCGGCGGCGUGCCGUUCCCCUCGCUCACACGGGCCAGUGAAACGGAACGGCACGGCAACGGGGGUGGUGGGUGUCGGAUGUGAAUAUGCCACAGGGGCGACCAGCUGGAGAUGCCGAUCCCGUGCUGGGGGCCCACCUGUAAGUGGGUGGGAGGGAGGGACGAGGGGGCGGGGGUGAUUUAUUAGUGUGGGGGAUGGGGGAAGACUGGUUAGGCGCCGCGCCGGAUUGGUUGGUGACAACAUUAAAUUUUUUUUAUUAGUAGGAAAAAAAAGAAAAAAAAAUUGGGGCUGGUGCGGGGGUUGCACCGCAUGUUGUUGUACUACACCUGGGGUGAAAUGCAUGACGCAGCUGCACAUCUUUUUCACCUGUGCUGAUGAUAUGGCACCUUGCACGCAUGCAAUUUGUACCGCCAUUCUUUGAUUCAUGUGGUGACCAAUAAUAAGAUAAGUGAAAAAUGGUGAAAUCGCCUUGGGAUUUCUUUCUUUUUUGUCGUCUUCAUAUCUAGCGGUACCACACGUAGCUGCUCCAGGUUGGGAUAUCCUAUGAAAUCUCUGCGGAGUAUCUGUUGCCGUUGCCUACGAAACGUCUGCGUACGAACACGUAGCCGCGGGUGGCGCUUGACAGUCAGCCACGCCGCUUGACAGGCCUUGAUUAGAAAGCCGUGACACGAUGAGAGGGAGGUAAACGCCACGAGGCCCUCUCUCUCUUUUUGUAAAAUUUCGCGCGAUGUUGCGCAGGCAGCACGUGUGGUGUCGACUAUAAACAACGGCGACACCUCGUGGUCGUGUCUCGUGUGGCACGACCGAAUUUCAUUCCGCGUGCGCGCGUUCUGAUUUUACCAAGAUCCACACGUUACCGGAUCGUUUGUCUACAACACUUUCUCGUUGCUUCCGUUCCGUUCCGGUCGUACGCGCACGAGAACAUCCUGUGCGUCGGAGGUCACGUACAGGUACAGCCGCCCAUUCUUGCCUGACUCCCCACAUCCUUUCGUUCCUCGCGUAAGAGCAAGUAUUAUAAUACAGCUAAGAUUUUUUUACAGCCUUCUUGCAGCCCACUUAUAUAAUGGUUAGCUCAUCACUAUUAAUAUAUGGCUCACUUGUCUAUCUCACAGACUUUCUUAGUUUUGUUUUGCCUGAGCCGGCUGUAAGCUUACAGCCCGCUUUUACUCUCUUUCCUC